AGAAUAAUCAAGAUCAUCCUUCCUUUAUCUCAUCAGUUCCAGCCUCGGUUUCUGAUUCACUUUGCUUUGAUUCAUCUGUUACUUCCUUAGUUUCAGUCUCAGGUACAGGCGCUAUUGCCGGAUCAGCAGUCUCUGCAGAGGUAGGAGAUUUAUCAUUCCUUUCCAGAAAAAUCUCAAGCUGCAAAUUAAACCAAUGUCAGAAUAAUAUUAAUUGACAACUCUUUCAAGGUCUUCUUUUUAUAGAGUCCUGGAAUUUAGGGAGGGAAAACAUCUACGUCACACGUGGUGGUUCGUUAUUGGAUAUCAACAUAAAUGUUCUAUUGCAAUUCUAACGGCUGUGAUUCAAUUCCCGCCUCCCUUCUCUAUACCGUUACAUAAAUAAACUUACCCAUUUUACCUAAUCAUACAUUUUAUGUCAUCCAUCGAACAAUUAAUGGAUCAACUCUUAUCGGGCCACACCAAGGGCCUUUAGUCCUUUACCACAUCAUGUACAAUAUAAACAGUGUAUUCACAUGUGCAAGGUACAACCGUUUGUACAUAGAAAAUUGUUGUCGCGCCAAAUUAACUUUAAUAAAAUACGCUAAUUUCUAAUGUUCUUUUCUUAAUUGUGAUUUGUAGUUAUCGUAUGCGAUUUCUUUUAUUUUGUAAGUGUAUAUUUAGUAAUGCAUUAAGCCAAUGUUUACAAAUAUUUCAUACAAUAUAUAACUUUUACUUUUAA
This is a long non-coding RNA of Spinacia oleracea (spinach), 718 nucleotides long. RefSeq lists it as uncharacterized. The transcript is spliced from 2 exons. NCBI's taxonomy places the organism in Eukaryota, Viridiplantae, Streptophyta, Magnoliopsida, Caryophyllales, Amaranthaceae. The record is from RefSeq and is a predicted model, not a curated record.